AAAAAUUUAAUUUAAUUAAAAAUAUUAAUUUUGUAAAUUAAAAAUGAAAAAAAAUUCAAUUUUUA
Molecule: transfer RNA, 65 nt
Filed under: Encyrtus aurantii
Lineage: Eukaryota; Metazoa; Arthropoda; Insecta; Hymenoptera; Encyrtidae
Description: tRNA-Thr
Source: RNAcentral